This 71-nucleotide transfer RNA is filed under the name Loxodonta africana (African savanna elephant). It matches the Rfam family "tRNA". Rfam says of the family: Transfer RNA (tRNA) molecules are approximately 80 nucleotides in length. Their secondary structure includes four short double-helical elements and three loops (D, anti-codon, and T loops). The record is from Rfam by way of RNAcentral. Lineage: Eukaryota; Metazoa; Chordata; Mammalia; Proboscidea; Elephantidae.
CCGAGUGGUGCAUAUGGUGAAUGCGCUCAGCUGCUAACUGAAAGGUGGUGGUUCAAGCCCACCCACAGGCA